This 497-nucleotide ribosomal RNA is filed under the name uncultured bacterium. RNAcentral's name for it is "partial 16S ribosomal RNA". It matches the Rfam family "Bacterial small subunit ribosomal RNA", at positions 28 to 507 of the family's 1533-position model. The record is from RNAcentral.
GACGAACGCUGGCGGCGUGCCUAAUACAUGCAAGUAGAACGCUGAAGAGAGGAGCUUGCUCUUCUUGGAUGAGUUGCGAACGGGUGAGUAACGCGUAGGUAACCUGCCUGAUAGCGGGGGAUAACUAUUGGAAACGAUAGCUAAUACCGCAUAAAAUGGAUUAUCGCAUGAUAAUCCAUUGAAAGGUGCAAAUGCAUCACUACCAGAUGGACCUGCGUUGUAUUAGCUAGUUGGUGGGGUAACGGCUCACCAAGGCGACGAUACAUAGCUGACCUGAGAGGGUGAUCGGCCACACUGGGACUGAGACACGGCCCAGACGCCUACGGGAGGCAGCAGUAGGGAAUCUUCGGCAAUGGACGGAAGUCUGACCGAGCAACGCCGCGUGAGUGAAGAAGGUUUUCGGAUCGUAAAGCUCUGUUGUAAGAGAAGAACGAGUGUGAGAGUGGAAAGUUCACACUGUGACGGUAUCUUACCAGAAAGGGACGGCUAACUACGUG